RNAcentral lists this ribosomal RNA (2902 nucleotides) under Escherichia coli. Its description in RNAcentral is "bacterial LSU rRNA". It matches the Rfam family "Bacterial large subunit ribosomal RNA". The record is from RNAcentral. Lineage: Bacteria; Pseudomonadati; Pseudomonadota; Gammaproteobacteria; Enterobacterales; Enterobacteriaceae.
UUAAGCGACUAAGCGUACACGGUGGAUGCCCUGGCAGUCAGAGGCGAUGAAGGACGUGCUAAUCUGCGAUAAGCGUCGGUAAGGUGAUAUGAACCGUUAUAACCGGCGAUUUCCGAAUGGGGAAACCCAGUGUGUUUCGACACACUAUCAUUAACUGAAUCCAUAGGUUAAUGAGGCGAACCGGGGGAACUGAAACAUCUAAGUACCCCGAGGAAAAGAAAUCAACCGAGAUUCCCCCAGUAGCGGCGAGCGAACGGGGAGCAGCCCAGAGCCUGAAUCAGUGUGUGUGUUAGUGGAAGCGUCUGGAAAGGCGCGCGAUACAGGGUGACAGCCCCGUACACAAAAAUGCACAUGCUGUGAGCUCGAUGAGUAGGGCGGGACACGUGGUAUCCUGUCUGAAUAUGGGGGGACCAUCCUCCAAGGCUAAAUACUCCUGACUGACCGAUAGUGAACCAGUACCGUGAGGGAAAGGCGAAAAGAACCCCGGCGAGGGGAGUGAAAAAGAACCUGAAACCGUGUACGUACAAGCAGUGGGAGCACGCUUAGGCGUGUGACUGCGUACCUUUUGUAUAAUGGGUCAGCGACUUAUAUUCUGUAGCAAGGUUAACCGAAUAGGGGAGCCGAAGGGAAACCGAGUCUUAACUGGGCGUUAAGUUGCAGGGUAUAGACCCGAAACCCGGUGAUCUAGCCAUGGGCAGGUUGAAGGUUGGGUAACACUAACUGGAGGACCGAACCGACUAAUGUUGAAAAAUUAGCGGAUGACUUGUGGCUGGGGGUGAAAGGCCAAUCAAACCGGGAGAUAGCUGGUUCUCCCCGAAAGCUAUUUAGGUAGCGCCUCGUGAAUUCAUCUCCGGGGGUAGAGCACUGUUUCGGCAAGGGGGUCAUCCCGACUUACCAACCCGAUGCAAACUGCGAAUACCGGAGAAUGUUAUCACGGGAGACACACGGCGGGUGCUAACGUCCGUCGUGAAGAGGGAAACAACCCAGACCGCCAGCUAAGGUCCCAAAGUCAUGGUUAAGUGGGAAACGAUGUGGGAAGGCCCAGACAGCCAGGAUGUUGGCUUAGAAGCAGCCAUCAUUUAAAGAAAGCGUAAUAGCUCACUGGUCGAGUCGGCCUGCGCGGAAGAUGUAACGGGGCUAAACCAUGCACCGAAGCUGCGGCAGCGACGCUGAUGCGUUGUUGGGUAGGGGAGCGUUCUGUAAGCCUGCGAAGGUGUGCUGUGAGGCAUGCUGGAGGUAUCAGAAGUGCGAAUGCUGACAUAAGUAACGAUAAAGCGGGUGAAAAGCCCGCUCGCCGGAAGACCAAGGGUUCCUGUCCAACGUUAAUCGGGGCAGGGUGAGUCGACCCCUAAGGCGAGGCCGAAAGGCGUAGUCGAUGGGAAACAGGUUAAUAUUCCUGUACUUGGUGUUACUGCGAAGGGGGGACGGAGAAGGCUAUGUUGGCCGGGCGACGGUUGUCCCGGUUUAAGCGUGUAGGCUGGUUUUCCAGGCAAAUCCGGAAAAUCAAGGCUGAGGCGUGAUGACGAGGCACUACGGUGCUGAAGCAACAAAUGCCCUGCUUCCAGGAAAAGCCUCUAAGCAUCAGGUAACAUCAAAUCGUACCCCAAACCGACACAGGUGGUCAGGUAGAGAAUACCAAGGCGCUUGAGAGAACUCGGGUGAAGGAACUAGGCAAAAUGGUGCCGUAACUUCGGGAGAAGGCACGCUGAUAUGUAGGUGAGGUCCCUCGCGGAUGGAGCUGAAAUCAGUCGAAGAUACCAGCUGGCUGCAACUGUUUAUUAAAAACACAGCACUGUGCAAACACGAAAGUGGACGUAUACGGUGUGACGCCUGCCCGGUGCCGGAAGGUUAAUUGAUGGGGUUAGCGCAAGCGAAGCUCUUGAUCGAAGCCCCGGUAAACGGCGGCCGUAACUAUAACGGUCCUAAGGUAGCGAAAUUCCUUGUCGGGUAAGUUCCGACCUGCACGAAUGGCGUAAUGAUGGCCAGGCUGUCUCCACCCGAGACUCAGUGAAAUUGAACUCGCUGUGAAGAUGCAGUGUACCCGCGGCAAGACGGAAAGACCCCGUGAACCUUUACUAUAGCUUGACACUGAACAUUGAGCCUUGAUGUGUAGGAUAGGUGGGAGGCUUAGAAGUGUGGACGCCAGUCUGCAUGGAGCCGACCUUGAAAUACCACCCUUUAAUGUUUGAUGUUCUAACGUUGACCCGUAAUCCGGGUUGCGGACAGUGUCUGGUGGGUAGUUUGACUGGGGCGGUCUCCUCCUAAAGAGUAACGGAGGAGCACGAAGGUUGGCUAAUCCUGGUCGGACAUCAGGAGGUUAGUGCAAUGGCAUAAGCCAGCUUGACUGCGAGCGUGACGGCGCGAGCAGGUGCGAAAGCAGGUCAUAGUGAUCCGGUGGUUCUGAAUGGAAGGGCCAUCGCUCAACGGAUAAAAGGUACUCCGGGGAUAACAGGCUGAUACCGCCCAAGAGUUCAUAUCGACGGCGGUGUUUGGCACCUCGAUGUCGGCUCAUCACAUCCUGGGGCUGAAGUAGGUCCCAAGGGUAUGGCUGUUCGCCAUUUAAAGUGGUACGCGAGCUGGGUUUAGAACGUCGUGAGACAGUUCGGUCCCUAUCUGCCGUGGGCGCUGGAGAACUGAGGGGGGCUGCUCCUAGUACGAGAGGACCGGAGUGGACGCAUCACUGGUGUUCGGGUUGUCAUGCCAAUGGCACUGCCCGGUAGCUAAAUGCGGAAGAGAUAAGUGCUGAAAGCAUCUAAGCACGAAACUUGCCCCGAGAUGAGUUCUCCCUGACUCCUUGAGAGUCCUGAAGGAACGUUGAAGACGACGACGUUGAUAGGCCGGGUGUGUAAGCGCAGCGAUGCGUUGAGCUAACCGGUACUAAUGAACCGUGAGGCUUAACCUU